Molecule: ribosomal RNA, 537 nt
Filed under: Escherichia coli
Lineage: Bacteria; Pseudomonadati; Pseudomonadota; Gammaproteobacteria; Enterobacterales; Enterobacteriaceae
Also listed under: 1 other name
Description: bacterial SSU rRNA
Rfam family: Bacterial small subunit ribosomal RNA
Source: RNAcentral
GAAUUGACGGGGGCCCGCACAAGCGGUGGAGCAUGUGGUUUAAUUCGAUGCAACGCGAAGAACCUUACCUGGUCUUGACAUCCACGGAAGUUUUCAGAGAUGAGAAUGUGCCUUCGGGAACCGUGAGACAGGUGCUGCAUGGCUGUCGUCAGCUCGUGUUGUGAAAUGUUGGGUUAAGUCCCGCAACGAGCGCAACCCUUAUCCUUUGUUGCCAGCGGUCCGGCCGGGAACUCAAAGGAGACUGCCAGUGAUAAACUGGAGGAAGGUGGGGAUGACGUCAAGUCAUCAUGGCCCUUACGACCAGGGCUACACACGUGCUACAAUGGCGCAUACAAAGAGAAGCGACCUCGCGAGAGCAAGCGGACCUCAUAAAGUGCGUCGUAGUCCGGAUUGGAGUCUGCAACUCGACUCCAUGAAGUCGGAAUCGCUAGUAAUCGUGGAUCAGAAUGCCACGGUGAAUACGUUCCCGGGCCUUGUACACACCGCCCGUCACACCAUGGGAGUGGGUUGCAAAAGAAGUAGGUAGCUUAACCUUCG